UGUGAGCUCGAUGAGUAGGGCGGGACACGUGGUAUCCUGUCUGAAUAUGGGGGGACCAUCCUCCAAGGCUAAAUACUCCUGACUGACCGAUAGUGAACCAGUACCGUGAGGGAAAGGCGAAAAGAACCCCGGCGAGGGGAGUGAAAAAGAACCUGAAACCGUGUACGUACAAGCAGUGGGAGCACGCUUAGGCGUGUGACUGCGUACCUUUUGUAUAAUGGGUCAGCGACUUAUAUUCUGUAGCAAGGUUAACCGAAUAGGGGAGCCGAAGGGAAACCGAGUCUUAACUGGGCGUUAAGUUGCAGGGUAUAGACCCGAAACCCGGUGAUCUAGCCAUGGGCAGGUUGAAGGUUGGGUAACACUAACUGGAGGACCGAACCGACUAAUGUUGAAAAAUUAGCGGAUGACUUGUGGCUGGGGGUGAAAGGCCAAUCAAACCGGGAGAUAGCUGGUUCUCCCCGAAAGCUAUUUAGGUAGCGCCUCGUGAAUUCAUCUCCGGGGGUAGAGCACUGUUUCGGCAAGGGGGUCAUCCCGACUUACCAACCCGAUGCAAACUGCGAAUACCGGAGAAUGUUAUCACGGGAGACACACGGCGGGUGCUAACGUCCGUCGUGAAGAGGGAAACAACCCAGACCGCCAGCUAAGGUCCCAAAGUCAUGGUUAAGUGGGAAACGAUGUGGGAAGGCCCAGACAGCCAGGAUGUUGGCUUAGAAGCAGCCAUCAUUUAAAGAAAGCGUAAUAGCUCACUGGUCGAGUCGGCCUGCGCGGAAGAUGUAACGGGGCUAAACCAUGCACCGAAGCUGCGGCAGCGACGCUGAUGCGUUGUUGGGUAGGGGAGCGUUCUGUAAGCCUGUGAAGGUGUACUGUGAGGUAUGCUGGAGGUAUCAGAAGUGCGAAUGCUGACAUAAGUAACGAUAAAGCGGGUGAAAAGCCCGCUCGCCGGAAGACCAAGGGUUCCUGUCCAACGUUAAUCGGGGCAGGGUGAGUCGACCCCUAAGGCGAGGCCGAAAGGCGUAGUCGAUGGGAAACAGGUUAAUAUUCCUGUACUUGGUGUUACUGCGAAGGGGGGACGGAGAAGGCUAUGUUGGCCGGGCGACGGUUGUCCCGGUUUAAGCGUGUAGGCUGGUUUUCCAGGCAAAUCCGGAAAAUCAAGGCUGAGGCGUGAUGACGAGGCACUACGGUGCUGAAGCAACAAAUGCCCUGCUUCCAGGAAAAGCCUCUAAGCAUCAGGUAACAUCAAAUCGUACCCCAAACCGACACAGGUGGUCAGGUAGAGAAUACCAAGGCGCUUGAGAGAACUCGGGUGAAGGAACUAGGCAAAAUGGUGCCGUAACUUCGGGAGAAGGCACGCUGAUAUGUAGGUGAAGUCCCUCGCGGAUGGAGCUGAAAUCAGUCGAAGAUACCAGCUGGCUGCAACUGUUUAUUAAAAACACAGCACUGUGCAAACACGAAAGUGGACGUAUACGGUGUGACGCCUGCCCGGUGCCGGAAGGUUAAUUGAUGGGGUCAGCGCAAGCGAAGCUCUUGAUCGAAGCCCCGGUAAACGGCGGCCGUAACUAUAACGGUCCUAAGGUAGCGAAAUUCCUUGUCGGGUAAGUUCCGACCUGCACGAAUGGCGUAAUGAUGGCCAGGCUGUCUCCACCCGAGACUCAGUGAAAUUGAACUCGCUGUGAAGAUGCAGUGUACCCGCGGCAAGACGGAAAGACCCCGUGAACCUUUACUAUAGCUUGACACUGAACAUUGAGCCUUGAUGUGUAGGAUAGGUGGGAGGCUUUGAAGUGUGGACGCCAGUCUGCAUGGAGCCGACCUUGAAAUACCACCCUUUAAUGUUUGAUGUUCUAACGUUGACCCGUAAUCCGGGUUGCGGACAGUGUCUGGUGGGUAGUUUGACUGGGGCGGUCUCCUCCUAAAGAGUAACGGAGGAGCACGAAGGUUGGCUAAUCCUGGUCGGACAUCAGGAGGUUAGUGCAAUGGCAUAAGCCAGCUUGACUGCGAGCGUGACGGCGCGAGCAGGUGCGAAAGCAGGUCAUAGUGAUCCGGUGGUUCUGAAUGGAAGGGCCAUCGCUCAACGGAUAAAAGGUACUCCGGGGAUAACAGGCUGAUACCGCCCAAGAGUUCAUAUCGACGGCGGUGUUUGGCACCUCGAUGUCGGCUCAUCACAUCCUGGGGCUGAAGUAGGUCCCAAGGGUAUGGCUGUUCGCCAUUUAAAGUGGUACGCGAGCUGGGUUUAGAACGUCGUGAGACAGUUCGGUCCCUAUCUGCCGUGGGCGCUGGAGAAUUGAGGGGGGCUGCUCCUAGUACGAGAGGACCGGAGUGGACGCAUCACUGGUGUUCGGGUUGUCAUGCCAAUGGCACUGCCCGGUAGCUAAAUGCGGAAGAGAUAAGUGCUGAAAGCAUCUAAGCACGAAACUUGCCCCGAGAUGAGUUCUCCCUGACUCCUUGAGAGUCCUGAAGGAACGUUGAAGACGACGACGUUGAUAGGCCGGGUGUGUAAGCGCAGCGAUGCGUUGAGCUAACCGGUACUAAUGAACCGUGAGGCUUAACCUUACAACGCCGAAGGUGUUU
RNAcentral lists this ribosomal RNA (2565 nucleotides) under Escherichia coli. RNAcentral's name for it is "partial 23S ribosomal RNA". It matches the Rfam family "Bacterial large subunit ribosomal RNA", at positions 398 to 2925 of the family's 2925-position model. Lineage: Bacteria; Pseudomonadati; Pseudomonadota; Gammaproteobacteria; Enterobacterales; Enterobacteriaceae. The record is from RNAcentral.